AGUGGCGAACGGGUGAGUAACGCGUGGGUAACAUACCCUUUUAUCGGGGAUAACUUGCCGAAAGGUGAGCUAAUACUGGAUGUGCUGUUUUGAUCACAUGAUCGGGAUAACAAAGGUGGCCUCUAUAUAUAAGCUACCGUAAAAGGAUGGACCCGCGUCUGAUUAGCUAGUUGGUGGGGUAACGGCCUACCAAGGCGACGAUCAGUAGCCGGCCUGAGAGGGUGAACGGCCACACUGGGACUGAGACACGGCCCAGACUCCUACGGGAGGCAGCAGUGGGGAAUCUUCCGCAAUGGACGAAAGUCUGACGGAGCAACGCCGCGUGAGUGACGAAGGUUUUCGGAUUGUAAAACUCUGUCUUUUGGGACGAACGGUUCAUAUGUAAAUAAUGUAUGAAAUUGACGGUACCGAAGGAGGAAGCCCCGGCUAACUACGUGCCAGCAGCCGCGGUAAUACGUAGGGGGCAAGCGUUGUCCGGAAUUAUUGGGCGUAAAGAGCGCGCAGGCGGUUUUGUAAGUCCACCGUGAAAGCUUACGGCUCAACCGUAACGGGUCGGUGGAUACUGCAAGACUUGAGGGCAGGAGAGGAAAGUGGAAUUCCCAGUGUAGCGGUGAAAUGCGUAGAUAUUGGGAGGAACACCAGUGGCGAAGGCGACUUUCUGGACUGUUACUGACGCUGAGGCGCGAAAGCUGGGGAAGUGAACGGGAUUAGAUACCCCGGUAAUCCCAGCCGUAAACGAUGAGUACUAGGUGUAGGGGGUAUCGACCCCCCCUGUGCCGGAGUUAACGCAAUAA
Molecule: ribosomal RNA, 794 nt
Filed under: uncultured bacterium
Lineage: Bacteria
Description: bacterial SSU rRNA
Rfam family: Bacterial small subunit ribosomal RNA
Source: RNAcentral